Molecule: unclassified non-coding RNA, 143 nt
Filed under: Flavobacterium succinicans
Lineage: Bacteria; Pseudomonadati; Bacteroidota; Flavobacteriia; Flavobacteriales; Flavobacteriaceae
Description: Flavo-1 RNA
Source: RNAcentral
UUAUGCCCCAGAUAGUAGUGGAAAGCCCGGACCUCCAAACUGCCUUUUUUCUUGGCUCAAAAGAGCGACCAACGGAAGCUCCUUUUGGGCCUUAGAAAAAGACAGUUUGGAGGGAGGACUUGUAACGGAUAGCUGGAUUAGGC